RNAcentral lists this ribosomal RNA (492 nucleotides) under uncultured bacterium. RNAcentral describes it as "partial 16S ribosomal RNA". It matches the Rfam family "Bacterial small subunit ribosomal RNA", at positions 29 to 507 of the family's 1533-position model. The record is from RNAcentral.
AGUGAACGCUGGCGGUAGGCCUAACACAUGCAAGUCGAACGGCAGCACAGUAAGAGCUUGCUCUUACGGGUGGCGCGUGGCGGACGGGUGCGGAAUACAUCGGAAUCUACUUUUUCGUGGGGGCUAACGUCGGGAAAUUUCCUCUAAUACCGCAUACGACCUCCGGGUAAAAGCCGGGGAUCUUCUGACCUGGCGCGAUGGAAUGAGCCGAUGUCGGAUUAGCUAGUUGGCGGGGAAAAGGCCCACCAAGGCGACGAUCCGUAGCUGGUCCGGGGGGAAGGUCAGCUACCCUGUAAGUGAGACUGGGUCCCGACACCGACGGGGGGCAGCGGUGGGGAAUAUUGGACAAGGGGGGCAAGCCUGAUCCAGCCAUACCGCGUGGGUGAAGAAGGCCUUAGGGUUGUAAAGCCAUUUUGUUGGGAAAGAAAAGCAGCAGGUUAAUACCCCGCGGUUCUGACGGUACCCAAAGAAUAAGCACCGGCUAACUUCGUG